AAAGUUAGAGGUUCGAAGGCGAUCAGAUACCGCCCUAGUUCUAACCAUAAACGAUGCCAGCCAGCGAUCCGGCUGUGUUCCUCAAAUGACACGCCGGGCAGCUUCCGGGAAACCAAAGCUUUUGGGUUCCGGGGGAAGUAUGGUUGCAAAGCUCAAACUUAAAGGAAUUGACGGAAGGGCACCACCAGGAUUGGAGCCUGCGGCUCAAUUUGACUCAACGCGGGAAAACUCACCCGGCCAGGACACAGGAAGGAUUGACAGAUUAAGAGCUCUUUCUUGAUUCUGUGGGUGGUGGUGCAUGGCCGUUCUUAGUUGGUGGAGCGAUUUGUCUGGUUUAUUCCGAUAACGAGCGAGGCUCUAGCCUACUAAAUAGACGUUCCGAUCAUCUGCGUCGGACGUCCUUCUUAGAGGGACAAGCGGCGUCUAGCCGCACGAGACAGAGCAAUAACAGGUCUGUGAUGCCCUUAGAUGUCCGGGGCCGCACGCGCGCUACAUUGAAGGAAUCAGCGUGUGCUUUCCCUGUCCGACAGGACUGGGUAACCCGUUGAACCUCCUUCGUGCUGGGGAUAGGGGCUUGUAAUUGUUCCCCUUGAACGAGGAAUUCCCAGUAAGCACGAGUCAUCAUCUCGUGUUGAUUACGUCCCUGCCCUUUGUACACACCGCCCGUCGCUACUACCGAUUGAAUGAUUUAGUGAGGUCUUCGGACUGGCGCUCGGAGCGGCUUCCGGGUCGCGCCGGCGUGCCGGAAAGAUGACCAAACUUGAUCAUU
RNAcentral lists this ribosomal RNA (769 nucleotides) under Neoramia janus. RNAcentral describes it as "SSU rRNA". It matches the Rfam family "Eukaryotic small subunit ribosomal RNA", at positions 986 to 1773 of the family's 1831-position model. The record is from RNAcentral. Lineage: Eukaryota; Metazoa; Arthropoda; Arachnida; Araneae; Agelenidae.